RNAcentral lists this ribosomal RNA (446 nucleotides) under uncultured bacterium. RNAcentral's name for it is "bacterial SSU rRNA". It matches the Rfam family "Bacterial small subunit ribosomal RNA", at positions 773 to 1231 of the family's 1533-position model. The record is from RNAcentral.
AGUGAAUAGAUACCCCGGUAGUCCACGCCUUAAACGAUGGAUACUAGAUUUUGGUAGUAUCGACCCUAUCAGAAAUCGAAAGCUAAACGCGUUAAGUAUCCCACCUGGGGAUUACGGCCGCAAGGCUAAAACUCAAAGGAAUUGACGGGGACCCGCACAAGCGGUGGAGCAUGUGGUUUAAUUCGACGCUAAACGAAGAACCUUACCCAGGCUUGACAUCCAGCUGCAUAUAUCAGAAAUGAUAUAGCCUUCGAGGGUGCUGGACAGGUGCUGCAUGGUUGUCGUCAGCUCGUGUCGUGAGAUGUUGGGUUAAGUCCCGCAACGAGCGCAACCCUCAUUCUGUGUUGUAUUUUUCACAGAAGACCGCCCUGGUUAACAGGGAGGAAGGUGGGGACGACGUCAAAUCAGCAUGGCCCUUAUGCCUGGGGCCACACACGUGCUACAAU